CAAAUCCGGUUGAUCCUGCCGGACCCUACUGCUAUCGGGGGAGGACUAAGACAUGUUAGUUGUGCGCCUCCAAGCUAUGAUGGAGACGCGGCAUACGGCUCAGUAACACGUGGCUAACCCACCCUUGAGACGAAGAAAACCCCGGGAAACUGGGGGUAAUCCUCGAUAGAAGAAGACACCUGGAAGGGGUCUCCUUCCAAAAGGCGUCUAGAUCAUGCUUCUGGACGUUGCUCAAGGACGGGGCCGCGGCCGAUCAGGUUGUUGGUGAGGUAACGGCUCACCAAGCCUAUAACCGGUACGGGCCGUGAGAGCGGGAGCCCGGAGAUGGGCACUGAGACAAGGGCCCAGGCCCUACGGGGCGCAGCAGUUGCGAAAACUCCGCAAUGCGCGAAAGCGUGACGGGGCUACCCCGAGUGCCGUCCGCUGAGGACGGCUUUUCCACGGUGUAAGGAGCCGUGGGAAUAAGGAGAGGGCAAGUCUGGUGUCAGCCGCCGCGGUAAUACCAGCUCUCCGAGUGGUAGGGAUGAUUAUUGGGCUUAAAGCGUCCGUAGCCGGCCUGACAAGUCUUCCGUUAAAUCCACCGAUUCAAUCGCUGGACUGCGGGGGAUACUGUUGGGCUAGGGGGCGGGAGAGGCCGACGGUAUUCUCGGGGUAGGGGUGAAAUCCUAUAAUCCCGGGAGGACCACCAGUGGCGAAGGCGGUCGGCUAGAACGCGCUCGACGGUGAGGGACGAAAGCUGGGG
RNAcentral lists this ribosomal RNA (742 nucleotides) under Gammaproteobacteria bacterium. Its description in RNAcentral is "bacterial SSU rRNA". It matches the Rfam family "Archaeal small subunit ribosomal RNA", at positions 1 to 716 of the family's 1478-position model. RNAcentral also lists the same sequence under 1 other name. The record is from RNAcentral. Lineage: Bacteria; Pseudomonadati; Pseudomonadota; Gammaproteobacteria.